RNAcentral lists this ribosomal RNA (497 nucleotides) under uncultured bacterium. RNAcentral's name for it is "partial 16S ribosomal RNA". It matches the Rfam family "Bacterial small subunit ribosomal RNA", at positions 28 to 507 of the family's 1533-position model. The record is from RNAcentral.
GACGAACGCUGGCGGCGUGCCUAAUACAUGCAAGUUGAGCGCUGAAGGUUGGUACUUGUACCAACUGGAUGAGCAGCGAACGGGUGAGUAACGCGUGGGGAAUCUGCCUUUGAGCGGGGGACAACAUUUGGAAACGAAUGCUAAUACCGCAUAAAAACUUUAAACACAAGUUUUAAGUUUGAAAGAUGCAAUUGCAUCACUCAAAGAUGAUCCCGCGUUGUAUUAGCUAGUUGGUGAGGUAAAGGCUCACCAAGGCGAUGAUACAUAGCCGACCUGAGAGGGUGAUCGGCCACAUUGGGACUGAGACACGGCCCAAACUCCUACGGGAGGCAGCAGUAGGGAAUCUUCGGCAAUGGACGAAAGUCUGAACGAGCAACGCCGCGGGAGUGAAGAAGGGUGUCGGAUCGUAAAACUCUGUUGGUAGAGAAGAACGUUGGUGAGAGUGGAAAGCUCAUCAAGUGACGGUAACUACCCAGAAAGGGACGGCUAACUACGUG